GUGAAGAACGCAGCGAAAUGCGAUAAGUAAUGUGAAUUGCAGAAUUCAGUGAAUCAUCGAAUCUUUGAACGCACAUUGCGCCCGCCAGUAUUCUGGCGGGCAUGCCUGUCUGAGCGUCAUUUCAACCCUCAUGCCCCUAGGGCGUGGUGUUGGGGAUCGGCCAAAGCCCGCGAGGGACGGCCGGCCCCUAAAUCUAGUGGCGGACCCGUCGUGGCCUCCUCUGCGAAGUAGUGAUAUUCCGCAUCGGAGAGCGAUGAGCCCCUGCCGUUAAACCCCCAACUUUCCAAGGUUGACCUCAGAUCAGGUAGGAAUACCCGCUGAACUUAAGCAUAUCAAUAAGCGGAGA
This 346-nucleotide unclassified non-coding RNA is filed under the name soil metagenome. RNAcentral describes it as "partial contains 5.8S ribosomal RNA, internal transcribed spacer 2, and large subunit ribosomal RNA". The stretch from base 2 to 119 matches the Rfam family "5.8S ribosomal RNA", at positions 37 to 154 of the family's 154-position model. The record is from RNAcentral.